CAGCAGCCGCGGUAAUACGUAGGGGGCCAGCGUUGUUCGGAAUUACUGGGUGUAAAGGGUUCGUAGGCGGUGUGGCAAGUUGGGAGUGAAAUCUCUGGGCUCAACCCAGAGACGGCUUCCAAAACUGCCGUGCUUGAGUGUGAGAGAGGCUCGUGGAAUUGCAGGUGUAGCGGUGAAAUGCGUAGAUAUCUGCAGGAACACCCGUGGCGAAAGCGGCGAGCUGGACCACUACUGACGCUGAAGAACGAAAGCUAGGGGAGCAAACAGGAUUAGAUACCCUGGUAGUCCUAGCCCUAAACGAUCAGGACUUGGGGUGCCACCCGUUCGGGUGGCGUCCCGGAGCUAACGCGUUAAGUCCUGCACCUGGGGAGUACGGUCGCAAGACUGAAACUCAAAUGAAUUGACGG
Molecule: ribosomal RNA, 407 nt
Filed under: uncultured soil bacterium
Lineage: Bacteria
Description: bacterial SSU rRNA
Rfam family: Bacterial small subunit ribosomal RNA
Source: RNAcentral